RNAcentral lists this ribosomal RNA (424 nucleotides) under uncultured bacterium. Its description in RNAcentral is "partial 16S ribosomal RNA". It matches the Rfam family "Bacterial small subunit ribosomal RNA", at positions 360 to 776 of the family's 1533-position model. The record is from RNAcentral.
AAUAUUGGACAAUGGGCGAAAGCCUGAUCCAGCCAUGCCGCGUGUGUGAAGAAGGUCUUCGGAUUUUAAAGCUCUUUAAGCUGGGAGGAAGGGCAGUAAGUUAAUACCUUGCUGUUUCUACGUUAUCGACAGAAUAAGUACCGGCUAACUUCGUUCCCUCUGCCGUGGUUAUACGAAGGGUGCAACGGUUAAUGGGAAUUACUGGGCGUAAAGGCCGACUAGGUGGUUCGUUAAGUUGGAAGUGAAAGCCCCGGGCUUAACCUGGGAAUUGCUUUCAAAACUGACGAGCUAGAGUACGGUAGAGGGUAGUGGAAUUUCCUGUGUAGCGGUGAAAUGCGUAGAUAUAGGAAGGAACACCAGUGGCGAAGGCGACUACCUAGACUGAUACUGACACUGAGGUGCGAAAGCGUGGGGAGCAAACAGG